RNAcentral lists this long non-coding RNA (460 nucleotides) under Medicago truncatula (barrel medic). RNAcentral describes it as "lncRNA gene24677". Lineage: Eukaryota; Viridiplantae; Streptophyta; Magnoliopsida; Fabales; Fabaceae. The record is from RNAcentral.
GGGGGAACUUUACUCAAAGUGAGCUCAAUCGAACUGAAAAGAAGUCCAGGAAAAAAGUGAAAAAAACGGGAAAAACUUUUGUUUUGACUGUUAUACCAAUUAUACCAAAGAGAAAUGAUAAAUGUGUAGAAGAGAUGGAGCAAACGCAAAAUGAUGAAUCGAUUGCAGCAGAUUUGGAAGAGGAUUUGUCUGUUCUGGAUAUACAGUGAGAGCUAAGCUUAAUGACUUGGUUAUAAAUGCUGGAAUUGAAGAUCACCAUGGGCUGUGACUGCGAUGCUUCAAUGAUGAUGAUGAAGAUCGCGGUUUACUUCUUUCUCUGAAAUUUGUAGUUAAUAAGUUUACACUGUUGUUCAUGUACAAAAGUGAAACUCUGAAUUUGUAGUUAACUCGCAUUGUUGUUUAGUUUGUGGCUUUGUGCUCACUUCUUUAUCUGUUGAAGUUAAUUCACGUUGUUAUCCUA